GAUGAACGCUGGCGGCGUGCCUAAUACAUGCAAGUCGAGCGAACGGACGAGAAGCUUGCUUCUCUGAUGUUAGCGGCGGACGGGUGAGUAACACGUGGAUAACCUACCUAUAAGACUGGGAUAACUUCGGGAAACCGGAGCUAAUACCGGAUAAUAUUUUGAACCGCAUGGUUCAAAAGUGAAAGACGGUCUUGCUGUCACUUAUAGAUGGAUCCGCGCUUCAUUAGCUAGUUGGUAAGGUAACGGCUUACCAAGGCAACGAUGCAUAGCCGACCUGAGAGGGUGAUCGGCCACACUGGAACUGAGACACGGUCCAGACUCCGACGGGAGGCAGCAGUAGGGAAUCCUCCGCAAUGGGCGAAAGCCUGACGGAGCAACGCCGCGUGAGUGAUGAAGGUCUUCGGAUCGUAAAACUCUGUUAUUAGGGAAGAACAUAUGUGUAAGUAACUGUGCACAUCUUGACGGUACCUAAUCAGAAAGCCACGGCUAACUACGUG
This 497-nucleotide ribosomal RNA is filed under the name uncultured bacterium. Its description in RNAcentral is "partial 16S ribosomal RNA". It matches the Rfam family "Bacterial small subunit ribosomal RNA", at positions 28 to 507 of the family's 1533-position model. The record is from RNAcentral.